GAUAAGUAGGGCGGGACACGUGAUAUCCUGUUUGAAGAUGGGGGGACCAUCCUCCAAGGCUAAAUACUCCUGAUUGACCGAUAGUGAACCAGUACUGUGAAGGAAAGGCGAAAAGAACCCCGGUGAGGGGAGUGAAAUAGAACCUGAAACCUUGUACGUACAAGCAGUGGGAGCCCUUUAAGGGUGACUGCGUACCUUUUGUAUAAUGGGUCAGCGACUUAUAUUCUGUAGCAAGGUUAACCGAAUAGGGGAGCCGAAGGGAAACCGAGUCUUAACUGGGCGUUAAGUUGCAGGGUAUAGACCCGAAACCCGGUGAUCUAGCCAUGGGCAGGUUGAAGGUUGGGUAACACUAACUGGAGGACCGAACCGACUAAUGUUGAAAAAUUAGCGGAUGACUUGUGGCUGGGGGUGAAAGGCCAAUCAAACCGGGAGAUAGCUGGUUCUCCCCGAAAGCUAUUUAGGUAGCGCCUCGUGAAUUCAUCUCCGGGGGUAGAGCACUGUUUCGGCAAGGGGGUCAUCCCGACUUACCAACCCGAUGCAAACUGCGAAUACCGGAGAAUGUUAUCACGGGAGACACACGGCGGGUGCUAACGUCCGUCGUGAAGAGGGAAACAACCCAGACCGCCAGCUAAGGUCCCAAAGUCAUGGUUAAGUGGGAAACGAUGUGGGAAGGCCCAGACAGCCAGGAUGUUGGCUUAGAAGCAGCCAUCAUUUAAAGAAAGCGUAAUAGCUCACUGGUCGAGUCGGCCUGCGCGGAAGAUGUAACGGGGCUAAACCAUGCACCGAAGCUGCGGCAGCGACGCUGAUGCGUUGUUGGGUAGGGGAGCGUUCUGUAAGCCUGCGAAGGUGUGCUGUGAGGCAUGCUGGAGGUAUCAGAAGUGCGAAUGCUGACAUAAGUAACGAUAAAGCGGGUGAAAAGCCCGCUCGCCGGAAGACCAAGGGUUCCUGUCCAACGUUAAUCGGGGCAGGGUGAGUCGACCCCUAAGGCGAGGCCGAAAGGCGUAGUCGAUGGGAAACAGGUUAAUAUUCCUGUACUUGGUGUUACUGCGAAGGGGGGACGGAGAAGGCUAUGUUGGCCGGGCGACGGUUGUCCCGGUUUAAGCGUGUAGGCUGGUUUUCCAGGCAAAUCCGGAAAAUCAAGGCUGAGGCGUGAUGACGAGGCACUACGGUGCUGAAGCAACAAAUGCCCUGCUUCCAGGAAAAGCCUCUAAGCAUCAGGUAACAUCAAAUCGUACCCCAAACCGACACAGGUGGUCAGGUAGAGAAUACCAAGGCGCUUGAGAGAACUCGGGUGAAGGAACUAGGCAAAAUGGUGCCGUAACUUCGGGAGAAGGCACGCUGAUAUGUAGGUGAAGUCCCUUGCGGAUGGAGCUGAAAUCAGUCGAAGAUACCAGCUGGCUGCAACUGUUUAUUAAAAACACAGCACUGUGCAAACACGAAAGUGGACGUAUACGGUGUGACGCCUGCCCGGUGCCGGAAGGUUAAUUGAUGGGGUCAGCGCAAGCGAAGCUCUUGAUCGAAGCCCCGGUAAACGGCGGCCGUAACUAUAACGGUCCUAAGGUAGCGAAAUUCCUUGUCGGGUAAGUUCCGACCUGCACGAAUGGCGUAAUGAUGGCCAGGCUGUCUCCACCCGAGACUCAGUGAAAUUGAACUCGCUGUGAAGAUGCAGUGUACCCGCGGCAAGACGGAAAGACCCCGUGAACCUUUACUAUAGCUUGACACUGAACAUUGAGCCUUGAUGUGUAGGAUAGGUGGGAGGCUUGGAAGUGUGGACGCCAGUCUGCAUGGAGCCGACCUUGAAAUACCACCCUUUAAUGUUUGAUGUUCUAACGUUGACCCGUAAUCCGGGUUGCGGACAGUGUCUGGUGGGUAGUUUGACUGGGGCGGUCUCCUCCUAAAGAGUAACGGAGGAGCACGAAGGUUGGCUAAUCCUGGUCGGACAUCAGGAGGUUAGUGCAAUGGCAUAAGCCAGCUUGACUGCGAGCGUGACGGCGCGAGCAGGUGCGAAAGCAGGUCAUAGUGAUCCGGUGGUUCUGAAUGGAAGGGCCAUCGCUCAACGGAUAAAAGGUACUCCGGGGA
Molecule: ribosomal RNA, 2079 nt
Filed under: human gut metagenome
Description: bacterial LSU rRNA
Rfam family: Bacterial large subunit ribosomal RNA
Source: RNAcentral